GCAGGCUGGAGAAGUUGUUUGAAAAACAAGUGACGUAGCUCCAGCCCGUCCUUAAUGGGUUAAAAAAAAUAACAGCGCGACGAUACAUAAUGAAGGAAGCCAAUCCCAGGACUGCCAAAUUGCAGUCCCGCCCUUUUCUCUCAUCCUCUUCUUCUCUUUGUUCCUAAAUGCUGGUGCAUUUCUCGCCGACCAAUCACAAAGGGAGUCGCGGGGUUCGGCAAAUCACAGCGAAGCGUUGCAUCACCACAGAGAAAAAGCCUUACGCUGCAGACAGUUAUUUUUUUCUCUCUGACAAAGCUGCAUAUUGUGAACAACUGACCAGAGCAGUGCAGACGCAAAAAGGUACCCAAGGAAAGUCACCAGCAUAGUCCACCCUACACACCCGACAGUAAAACUGAACUCAGGACUGGAGUUAGAGGCAGCAAAGCAGGCCUUGGAAGUCUGAUUUUGAAUGACAGUCCAAUGCAGCCUUUGGGAGGCUCCUUUUGUAAAGAAGAUGUAUUACAGCUCACUCUUUUAAAUCACCAGAAAUAUUCUCUCUCUACAUGCAGGAUUUGUGCCAAAGUCAGUUAUUUUGUUACAUUUUGUUUGUGCAGGAGUCAGUAAGUAAGCUCUAACACAUCUGUAAGAAAAGGUAGUUCCCCUAAAUAAGACCUGCCUGUGAAUGAAAAUCUCACACCCAACUCCUUCAUGUAAACAGAAACGAAGAGAAACAGAUGCAGAUAUUGAGGAUGUGAAGUUAAACUUGAUUAUUUCAUAAACGGUACAGAAUUUUUUUUGAUUAUGUAGGGACCUAUAGGGUUAAUAGGCCCGAUAGAAUUAAUUCCCUACUUAUCAGUAAUCCUUUACUAUCGGACACUAAGACCUGUAGCAUUCCUUAAGUAAUACUUUCAGUUACUGGCCAAGAGAGUAGUGACACUUUCCUGCCACACGACUAUUUAGUGUGUGUAGGGAGUGGCCUCUUCCUCUUUGGCUCCUGGUGUCCUGAAAGCUGGGUGUUCCCAUUGAGCCUGGGAUCACCAAGGCCCAGUAAAGCCAUUUAUCCCAAAGUUACCUGACACCUUUGGUGCUUGAGUAGCGGACCAGGCAACCCCGUGAGAGAGGAAUAGCUAGUCUAGGGAAGCUGUGGUAAUAGACUCUCUAGGAGUGUAAGGCAGAUAGUACUUAGCAGCAUGAGCAGUUGUUGCUCCAUCAAGGAUUGCUAGUUGGAAGUAGCUUCCUACAAGGCUUCCCUUGUUGUUGCCUUUAGUGCAGAGAACUCAGUAAUAGGGACCUAGGUUAGCAGAGGACUGCCUGAUCUCUACAGUAAUUGAUCCCUAUCCCCACAGAGGUAGCAUCGGUCUUGUAUGAAUUGAUGUACUCCAUGCCUGUUGAGACUUAUGGGAGUGACAACCUUCCUGCUGUAUCGUGUGAUCUGUCUGACUCCAUAUCAUCUGCUAUCUCCUAAACUCCUGCGAUAUGACGUCAGUGACAUUUUUGAGGAUACAGCUUCAUUAAUUCGCAAGUCAGAACCUGGCAAAAUAGACUCUGGAAAUAAUGGCAAUGAAUAGAAACUUUCAUAACUUUCACAAAUAAACGUAUUUUCACAUGUU
Molecule: long non-coding RNA, 1592 nt
Organism: Xenopus laevis (African clawed frog)
Lineage: Eukaryota; Metazoa; Chordata; Amphibia; Anura; Pipidae
Exons: 4
Source: RefSeq, a predicted model, not a curated record